CAGACUCCUACGGGAGGCAGCAGUGGGGAAUCUUGGACAAUGGGCGCAAGCCUGAUCCAGCGAUGCCGCGUGAGUGACGAAGGCCCUAGGGUCGUAAAGCUCUUUCGCCAGGGAUGAUAAUGACAGUACCUGGUAAAGAAACCCCGGCUAACUCCGUGCCAGCAGCCGCGGUAAUACGGAGGGGGUUAGCGUUGUUCGGAAUUACUGGGCGUAAAGCGCACGUAGGCGGACUAGUCAGUCAGAGGUGAAAUCCCAGGGCUCAACCCUGGAACUGCCUUUGAUACUGCUAGUCUAGAGUUCGAGAGAGGUGAGUGGAAUUCCGAGUGUAGAGGUGAAAUUCGUAGAUAUUCGGAGGAACACCAGUGGCGAAGGCGGCUCACUGGCUCGAUACUGACGCUGAGGUGCGAAAGUGUGGGGAGCAAACGGGAUUAGAUACCCUGGUAGUCCACACCGUAAACGAUGAAUGCCAGACGUCGGGGGGCUUGCCCUUCGGUGUCACACCUAACGGAUUAAGCAUUCCGCCUGGGGAGCACGGUCGCAAGAUUAAAACUCAAAUGAAUUGA
This 563-nucleotide ribosomal RNA is filed under the name uncultured Alphaproteobacteria bacterium. RNAcentral's name for it is "bacterial SSU rRNA". It matches the Rfam family "Bacterial small subunit ribosomal RNA", at positions 332 to 913 of the family's 1533-position model. The record is from RNAcentral. Lineage: Bacteria; Pseudomonadati; Pseudomonadota; Alphaproteobacteria.